Non-coding RNA from Acanthosepion pharaonis, 105 nucleotides. The record is from the annotation of a GenBank genome assembly. NCBI's taxonomy places the organism in Eukaryota, Metazoa, Mollusca, Cephalopoda, Sepiida, Sepiidae.
ACACCUCGUUGAAACACCUGUUCUUAUACGAUCAUCGAAGGUAAGUAAUGUCAAGCCUGGUCAGUACCUAGAUGGGUAACUGCUUGAGAAUACUAGGUGCUGUAA